CCUGAACCCUCAUUUGACUUGAAAUGUCUUUACAGCUAUAACGUUUCAUCCUCUUAAAAAAUUAAAAUUUAAAAAAAGGAAAAAAAAAAGAGGCCAAAUUUGAAAUAAAGACUGCCACAAGAUCUCCGCAUCUUCCAAACAUUAGAGCGGAGCCGACUCUACGGUACAAUACAAACAAAUAAUCAAUGUUCGUUACAGACAAACGUGGUCCUGUCCUUGUUAGUGUGAAUUGGUGCACACAUUUGUAUAGCUGCAUUUCUGAUAAUAAAUGAACUGUACAAACAUCGAUUUGCAUGAAAACUGCCAUUGAAAGUAAUGUUUGAAUGGGUACACUUGUCAUCAAUGGACAAGCUGAAAAAUUACACAAUUAUUAAAUGCUCUAUUUCAGCUUCAAUAUUUGGAUUUACUUUCAGGUUUGGUUUCGUACCACUACCGAGAUUGCAACAUUAAUUCCUCGUAGACGGAGUGAGGCGAGGGCCACUUUAUCUUCCACCUCCUC
Molecule: long non-coding RNA, 499 nt
Filed under: Olea europaea subsp. europaea
Lineage: Eukaryota; Viridiplantae; Streptophyta; Magnoliopsida; Lamiales; Oleaceae
Source: RNAcentral